UANNACCACGAGAAAUCGGGGCUAAUACCGGAUGUGUCAUCGGACCGCAUGGUCCGCUGAUGAAAGGCGCUCCGGCGUCGCCCAUGGAUGGCUUUGCGGUGCAUUAGCUAGUUGGUGGGGUAACGGCCCACCAAGGCGACGAUGCAUAGCCGACCUGAGAGGGUGAUCGGCCACACUGGGACUGAGACACGGCCCAGACUCCUACGGGAGGCAGCAGUAGGGAAUCUUCCACAAUGGACGAAAGUCUGAUGGAGCAACGCCGCGUGAACGAUGAAGGCUUUCGGGUCGUNNAGUUCUGUUGUAAGGGAAGAACAAGUGCCGCAGGCAAUGGCGGCACCUUGACGGUACCUUGCGAGAAAGCCACGGCUAACUACGUGCCAGCAGCCGCGGUAAUACGUAGGUGGCAAGCGUUGUCCGGAAUUAUUGGGCGUAAAGCGCGCGCAGGCGGCCUCUUAAGUCUGAUGUGAAAGCCCCCGGCUCAACCGGGGAGGGCCAUUGGAAACUGGGAGGCUUGAGUAUAGGAGAGAAGAGUGGAAUUCCACGUGUAGCGGUGAAAUGCGUAGAGAUGUGGAGGAACACCAGUGGCGAAGGCGACUCUUUGGCCUAUAACUGACGCUGAGGCGCGAAAGCGUGGGGAGCAAGACAGGAUUAGAUACCCUGGUAGUCCACGCCGUAAACUAUGAGUGCUAGGUGUUGGAGGGUUUCCGCCCUUCAGUGCUGAAGCUAACG
This 729-nucleotide ribosomal RNA is filed under the name Exiguobacterium sp. 23Mb. RNAcentral describes it as "bacterial SSU rRNA". It matches the Rfam family "Bacterial small subunit ribosomal RNA", at positions 142 to 857 of the family's 1533-position model. Lineage: Bacteria; Bacillati; Bacillota; Bacilli; Caryophanales. The record is from RNAcentral.